GAUGAACGCUGGCGGCGUGCCUAAUACAUGCAAGUCGAGCGAACGGACGAGAAGCUUGCUUCUCUGAUGUUAGCGGCGGACGGGUGAGUAACACGUGGAUAACCUACCUAUAAGACUGGGAUAACUUCGGGAAACCGGAGCUAAUACCGGAUAAUAUUUUGAACCGCAUGGUUCAAAAGUGAAAGACGGUCUUGCUGUCACUUAUAGAUGGAUCCGCGCUGCAUUAGCUAGUUGGUAAGGUAACGGCUUACCAAGGCAACGAUGCAUAGCCGACCUGAGAGGGUGAUCGGCCACACGGGAACUGAGACACGGUCCAGACUCCUACGGGAGGCAGCAGUAGGGAAUCUUCCGCAAUGGGCGAAAGCCUGACGGAGCAACGCCGCGUGAGUGAUGAAGGUCUUCGGAUCGUAAAACGCUGUUAUUAGGGAAGAACAUAUGUGUAAGUAACUGUGCACAUCUUGACGGUACCUAAGCAGAAAGCCACGGCUAACUACGU
This 496-nucleotide ribosomal RNA is filed under the name uncultured bacterium. Its description in RNAcentral is "partial 16S ribosomal RNA". It matches the Rfam family "Bacterial small subunit ribosomal RNA", at positions 28 to 506 of the family's 1533-position model. The record is from RNAcentral.